This 459-nucleotide ribosomal RNA is filed under the name uncultured bacterium. Its description in RNAcentral is "partial 16S ribosomal RNA". It matches the Rfam family "Bacterial small subunit ribosomal RNA", at positions 338 to 795 of the family's 1533-position model. The record is from RNAcentral.
CCUACGGGUGACAGCAGUAGGGAAUAUUGCUCAAUGGGGGAAACCCUGAAGCAGCAACGCCGCGUGGAGGAUGAAGGUUUUCGGAUUGUAAACUGCUUUUGUACGAGGGUAAACGCAGAUACGCGUAUCUGUCUGAAAGUAUCGUACGAAUAAGGAUCGGCUAACUCCGUGCCAGCAGCCGCGGUAAUACGGAGGGUGCAAGCGUUACUCGGAAUCACUGGGCGUAAAGAGCGCGUAGGCGGGAUAGCAAGUCAGAUGUGAAAUCCUAUGGCUUAACCAUAGAACUGCAUUUGAAACUGUUAUUCUAGAGUAUGGGAGAGGUAGGUGGAAUUCUUGGUGUAGGGGUAAAAUCCGUAGAGAUCAAGAGGAAUACUCAUUGCGAAGGCGACCUGCUAGAACAUAACUGACGCUGAUGCGCGAAAGCGUGGGGAGCAAACAGGAUUAGAUACCCCUGUAGUC